UACGGAGGGUGCAAGCGUUGUCCGGAAUCACUGGGCGUAAAGAGCGCGCAGGCGGUCGAUCAAGUCGAGUGUGAAAGCCCCCGGCUCAACUGGGGAGGGUCAUUCGAUACUGAUCGACUCGAAGGCAGGAGAGGGUAGUGGAAUUCCCGGUGUAGUGGUGAAAUGCGUAGAUAUCGGGAGGAACACCAGUGGCGAAGGCGACUACCUGGCCUGUUCUUGACGCUGAGGCGCGAAAGCUAGGGGAGCAAACGGG
Molecule: ribosomal RNA, 253 nt
Filed under: uncultured bacterium
Lineage: Bacteria
Description: partial 16S ribosomal RNA
Rfam family: Bacterial small subunit ribosomal RNA
Source: RNAcentral